Molecule: long non-coding RNA, 364 nt
Organism: Triticum dicoccoides
Lineage: Eukaryota; Viridiplantae; Streptophyta; Magnoliopsida; Poales; Poaceae
Exons: 3
Source: RefSeq, a predicted model, not a curated record
CCCAACCUCCGCGCCCUCCGCAACGCCUCCCACGUCGGUCUCACCGACGCCCCACAUGUCAAGAUCUCCGAGGGCGACUUCGGACACAUCCUUGACGACGUGCCCCACCUCGCUGACUACUACGUUCCGGUGACCCAUUGCAGUUCAGAGAUGGUUUAUAUGAAUUGUUUAUGAUCUAGGCCGCUACCAAACGCCUCUGGAGAGCAGUAUACUAUUUCUGCAUUUACCAACACAUAUGGAGUAUUGGUUCUCCUGAUCCUAACUUCACAUUAGAUGGCCACUCAAAAGGCGUGAACCGUGUUGAUUACUUCACCGGUGGUGAUCGACCAUUUUUUAUUACUGGAUCUGAUGAUCAGACUGCAAA